Non-coding RNA from Rattus norvegicus (Norway rat), 866 nucleotides. The record is from RefSeq and is a predicted model, not a curated record. NCBI's taxonomy places the organism in Eukaryota, Metazoa, Chordata, Mammalia, Rodentia, Muridae.
GCUGGGUUUGUUCCCAAGCCAGCGGCAGCUGGGAUGACCCAGAUCCAGGGCUGGUUGUCCCUGCUCUGUGCCUUUCCACUUCCAGGACGGCCACUGUGGCAUUCCCAUCAGGAUGGGAAAACCCAGCACGCGUUCUGUGGGUGGCGUCAUUUCCUCUGUUGGAAGAAUGAGGGCACAAUGGGACAUUUAAAACCCCAGAGAGCAAAAGGAGGAGCGGUGCUGCAGUGAAGAAUUCACAUUGGAGCUAUGUUAAGAGGACGCCCAGGAGUCUGCUGGAAGCCAUAUCUCCUGUGCAAGCACUUGAACUGAGCCCUGCAGAGCAACAUUACCACUAUUCACUAAGAAAGUCAGAAUUUGUCCUUUAAAAAAUUAUCAACUGCUUUCAACCUGAACUGGCCCCCUUCCACCCUCCCCCUUUUCUCUCCCAACCAGACCCCUCUCUCUCUCUACUUCCCAGAGAUUAUUUUCUUCCCCCUUCUGAGUAGGAUUGUAGCAUCCACACUUUGGUGUGACCUUCUUUCUUCUUGGGUUUCACAUGGUUUGUGAGUUGUAUCAUGGGUAUUCCGAGUUUCUUUUGGCGAAUAUCCUCUUAUCAGUGAAUGUAUACCAUGUAUAUUCUUUUGUGACGGGGUUACCUCAGUCAGAAUGAUAUUUUUCAAGUUCCAUCCAUUUCCCUCAGUCAGUAUGCGAUUUUUCAAGUUCCAUCCAUUUGCCUGCGAAUUUCUUGAAGUGAUUGUUUUUAAUAGCUGAGUAGUACUCCAUAGUAUAAUUGUACCACACUUUCUGUAUCCAGUCCUCUGUUGAGGGACAUCUGGGUUGUUUCCACCUUCUGGACUAUUAUAAAUAAAGUUGCUAUGAACAUAGUA